AGAACGAACGCUGGCGGCAGGCUUAACACAUGCAAGUCGAGCGCUGUAGCAAUACAGAGCGGCAGACGGGUGAGUAACGCGUGGGAACAUACCCUCCGGUUCGGAAUAACUCAGGGAAACUUGAGCUAAUACCGAAUACGGUCGAGAGGCGAAAGAUUUAUCGCCGGAGGAUUGGCCCGCGUCCGAUUAGCUAGUUGGUGUGGUAAUGGCGCACCAAGGCGACGAUCGGUAGCUGGUCUGAGAGGAUGAUCAGCCACAUUGGGACUGAGACACGGCCCAAACUCCUACGGGAGGCAGCAGUGGGGAAUAUUGGACAAUGGGCGAAAGCCUGAUCCAGCCAUGCCGCGUGAGUGAUGAAGGCCUUAGGGUUGUAAAGCUCUUUCACCCACGACGAUAAUGACGGUAGUGGGAGAAGAACGCCCGGACUAACUUCGUGCCAGCAGCCGC
RNAcentral lists this ribosomal RNA (447 nucleotides) under uncultured bacterium. RNAcentral's name for it is "SSU rRNA". It matches the Rfam family "Bacterial small subunit ribosomal RNA", at positions 26 to 518 of the family's 1533-position model. The record is from RNAcentral.